GGCAGAGAUGUCCCCUCACUGAAGUGACUAGGAUAAUCCUCGUAAGUGCAGUAUGUAAAAUCAACUCAAGGUGCUUCUAGAUUGUGUUGAUGGUCUGGAAAAACAUGCACCUAAAGGCCUUUCCAUAUGUUACCCCUUAAAAAGCUUCUGUUUGUUCGUCUAGGGUGGCAACCACAGUAAUGGAUGGAGAACCCAGCACAUGUCUGAAAACACAAAGUAAAUGUGUACCUUGAUGUUAAGGGGGAGAAAAAGUAACACACCAAAGACUAGGGAGCAAGUCCCAUUACACAAGGUAGGGCUUACUUAUCAGUAGGUAUACUUAGGCUCACACUGCACAGGUGCAAUUCUGCUCCAGUUGAAACCAACCCAAAUACCACUGAUUUCACUGCAGCAGCAUCCUUAAGCCACAGAUUGCUAGUGUUUUUAAGCGAUCUUAACAGAAGGUUGCAUGGUGGCCUCUUCUCUUUUUUAAACCACUGUGCGCUACUGUUUUAAAUAUGUCUGAUCAAAUAGGGCACCCUCCUAUUUUAGAGUAUGAACAAGCCAUCAACUCCUCAGAUAUGGUUUUUUAAAAAAAUUAUGUGGAAAUGCAGGUGUUAAGUCAUUUCUGUCACUCUGUGAGGAAAAGAAGAGAGUGAUGAUUGGUGCGUUUUUUCAGGCUUGAGAUAAUAUCAUGGUCAAGAUUAAUGUCUCGUGCUGAGAAGUUUUGUCACUCGUUCAGGUACAGCCCAUGUGUAUGAGCACAUUUGCACAUGCACGUCUCUGAGUAUUUUAGAUCGCUCAGAGCAGCUUACAACAAUUAAAAUAACGGGCUAUAUAUUUGGCCAGGGGGUACCUCAUUAGUUUUAACAAGGCUACAGCAUGAAUAAUUUCACAGUGUAGUAUUGUGCAGCAUUAGCAUUCAGUUCUGUUUUAAAAAAAUAAAAUAAAAGCACACCUUUGCUGUAUGCCCUCUACUUGUAUUCAACUCAAUGUACCACUGAGGUCCAGUGCCGAGGGCCUUCUGGCAGUUCCCUCGCUACAAAAAGCCAAGUUACAGGGAACCAGGCAGAGGGCCUUCUCGGUAGUGGCACCCACCCUGUGGAACACCCUCCCAUCAGAUGUCAAAGAGAAAAAUAACUACCAAACUUUAGGGAAGUUUAGGGAAGCUUUUAAUGUUUAAUAGGUUAUUGUAUUUUAGUGUUUUGUUGGAAGCCACCCAGAUGGGCUGGGUAUAAAUAAAUAAAUUAUUAUUAUUAUUAUUAUCCAUCAACAACAAGGCCUCAAGGACCGCCUCUCCCCAUAUAAACCACCCCCGACUCUGUGUUCAUCAUCUGAGGCCCUUCUUUGUGUGCCUCCUUCCUGUGAGGUCUGGAGGGUGGCAAUACGAGAAUGGGCCUUUUCUGCAGUGGCUCCGUUUGUGGAAUGCUCUCCCCAGGGAGGUUUGCCUGGCACCUUUAUUAUAUAUUUUUAGGCACCAGGCACAAACUCUUUCACUAGGCCUUAGGCUGAUUAAUAUCCUACAGCCUUUUAAAUGUUUUUUGGGGGAGGGGAUUUUGUUGUUGCUUUUGUUUUAACUAUUUAUUUGUGCUUUUACCUUGCAUUUUUAUCUUAUGAACUACCCUGAGAUCUUAUGACAGAGGGUGGUAUUUAAGUCCAAUAAAUAGAAUAAAUAAAUACUGUACUAAAAUAAUAUUUCAGGGGGAACAAGGCAACAACAGCUACUUGCCAGCAUCGUUUGGUUUACCUCCACUGUUGAAGGCCCUGUGGUUCAGGAUACCAGUUAUGGGAAGUCACAGGACAGGAGAGUGCUGUUGUGCUCAUGUCCUCCUUGCAGCUUUCUCAAUGGCAUCUUGUUAGCUUCUGUGAGAACAGGAUGCUGGACUUGAUGGGCCACUGAGCACUUCUUAUGUUCUGAAGCUAAGCGUUUGAAAAAAAGCCACCUCGUCACCUUACUCAAAGGACAACCAAGCAACAGCAACAGACUUUGGAGUUCUGAUACAAGGUGUAUAGUUGCUUGAAGCCCCAACCCACAGCCCUAUGUGUUUGCGGGGGUCAUAAUAAUAAUAAUUUAUUAUUUAUAUGACGCCCAUCUGACUGUGUUGCCCCAGCCAUUCAGGGCAGCUUCCAGCAAAUUAUAAAACCACAGCAAAAUAUCACACAUUAAAAACUUCCCCAUACAGGGCUGCCUUCAAACGUCUUCUAAAAGUCAGAUAGUUGUUUAUUUCCUUGACAUCUGAUUUGAGGGCAUUCCGCAGGGCGGGCGCCACUACCGAGAAGGCCCUCUGCCUGGUUCCCUGUAACCCCACUUCUUGCAAUGAGGGAACCUCCAGAAGGCCCUUGGAGCUGGACUUCAGGGUUCAGGCUGGAGUGGGGGUGGAAAUUCUCCUUCAGGUAUACAGGGCUGAAGCCAUUUAGGGCUUUAAAGGUGAAUUGUGCUGGGAAACGUCAUCAAGGGAAGACAUUUUGAUCAUGAUCAGCGAUUGUGGGCAUGACUCACUGUUGUGGCAACAGCUUUCCACCUGCAACACUGAAGAAAAAGAUGUGAGGUCCAAUUUGUAAUCAAUGUUUAAUCAAAUGUAAUUAAUUUGUCAUAGUGUUUUGUUAUUUUAAUUGGGUUGGCUCUGUUGUUGAUUUAAAUUAUAAUUUGUAUUAAGAUGUUAAUACAAUAAUGAAAAUCAGAUAUACAGUGUAAAAUAUUGUCUAAACAAGUAAGAUAAAAUAAACAUUGGCGACAUGAUUAAUUUCAGCACAUAUAACAAUUCAUGAGCAAACAGGGGACAAUUAAGGAUAUAAAAGCUUAGAUAAAUUUUAUAAGCUUUUAUAGUCUUAAUCGUCUUAGUCUGAGAAAACUAAUAUUUUCUCCUUUCUCUUCCAGGAAGGAUAAACAAAAGAAAUUAUGAUUGGGAUAAUACCAUGACAGAUAAGGUGCAAAACUAAAAAAAUGAAGAAAAAUGUGUGUGUGUGUGUGUGUGUGUGUGUGUGGAGUGGGGCUUUGUUUUUAAUUAUUGGAGCGAUAUCCAAAUACUUCAUUGAAAUGAGACCUGUUGAAAUCACUGGAUUUACUAAGGCUUUUGAUUCAGUAGGUCUACUCUGAAUACAACUCAUGUUGGAUAUAACCCUUGGGUUUUAUUAUGGAGUGGGGAACCCCUAGUCCACAAAUCAAGAGCAGAUCACUGGAUUCUGCUUCUGGUUAUUCCUCUCACCAGCUGCAGUCCCUUAUUGCCUUGUACUUUUAUUAUAUUUCUUAUUUAGUGGAUUGAAAAAUGGGCAGGAGGACUAUAGAAGCCUCUCGAUUUGCAUAGCUGGAAUGGAGUCUAGGCUACAAAGGUACGAGUCACCUGGCUGCUCCACUCCCACCUGCCUCUGACUCCCAUCAGUCACUGGCAUGCAGCCCCAGAAGGGGGGGGGAGGUCCCCUACAUGGAAAUGUGCCCCUUGUGCCAAAAAAGGUCCCCAGCAACAGUUUUGUAAUAUGCCCCUCCCUAGUAUCAGUACAUAUGAAGGUUGGUCUCCAAAUAUUUUUAACAAUAAAUGUUACGUACUGAAGUUCUCACCCUGGGCCAGCAGGCGGAUACUGUAGAUAGCUGCAAAUAAGGGAUCGAAAGUGACGUUCAGUGAUUGGAUAGUUUUAGAAAGUUGUUACAGUAACGUUGUACUGGAACUCUAUAUAAGCAGGCUGACUGAACCCUUCAGUUCAGUUCUGUCCUGGCCUGUGAAUAAACAAGAGCUGUUUGAAGAAUUGCUGUGUUGUCUGAUAUGUUCACCCACAACUUAACAAUAAACAAGCACACAAGUAAGUCACUGCUGAGGUGUACCCACAAUUGUGAGGCCUGCAGAGAUUAUAAUGAUGCUUCUCCAGCUGUUGCCAUUGGCUACAGACUACCUGUGACAUCACAAAAGUACAUGGCAGCUGAGUGGAUAUGAACACUCUUCCCCAACAGAACACAGCAAGCAACAGCUUUGACGUUCAGUCUUCUUCCACCUGGAGGAGGUGAAUAGGCAGAUGGACGGAGAUGAUCAUCUGGCUGCAGGAUGCUAUGGAGCAAUUAUCAGGCAAGUUCACUUGCAGUGUGGAAUUGUUGCUUGAAGGCAGCUGAUAUCCAUGGUCCAAGCUAGUGGUGAAUGUCCAGUGGUGGACCUAGCGGGUGUUGGUGGGUGGAAGCCAAUGGAGUUCUCAUUUGGAUGUUGCGAAGCUGAAACAGGGCGAUGAUGUUUGUUGAUGUGAGCUGGUUGAAGUUCACCUUCGGAAGCUGAUCGACAGAAGCCUGCGGAUAUUUGUAGGUCGAAGCCAGGGCACUUCCAUGAAUGAACGAGAGCAAAAUGUAAGUGAAUAUGUCUUCUUCGUGAAUAUUGGCUGGCGUAUGCUUCUGUCUGUGGAAAGGAGGUUUUGAAAGUGGGCAAGGCGAAGGGUAGAAGUUGGCAGGAUGAAGUUAGCAGAUGAAGUUGCCAGGCAGAAGCCAGUGGAGGUGCUUCUGGGUGAUGUUGUGGGAUGUAGCCAUCCCCUUGUCACAUCUGUCAUUUUCUUCUUCUGGGGAUCUCUGAAGCCAGGAAUGUGCUUGAAAGCAAUGAAGAGGGAACACAGGGCAGCCUGAAGCCAGCAAGGCUUUCUCAAAACACAGCCACCCCCUGUGAAAGCAAUGAACAGAACUUGCAGAACAGAACUUCUAUUCCCCACCACCACCACCAACUACAUUUAGCGGUAGUGUCUAUUCUAUCUUAUUUUCUCAAAGACGGAUAAUGGAAGGGCAAAUACCUUCACUUGUGGUGUGAAACCGCCACCCCACCCUGAUAUUAGUAUACAUGAAGGGUGGACUGUACAUAUUUUUUAAUGGUAAGCAGUUCGCUCCUAAGAUGCCCCCACAAUGGUCAGGCCUAGGGAGGUUGUGAUGAUGCUCUCAGCUGUUGCCAUUAGCAACAUGCUGCCUCUGAUGUCACAAAAGGACAUGGUGGCUGAAGGAGAAGAGGCAGUUAUUAGGGGGAGUGGGGAAGGAGAGAAAAGCCCCAGGAGAAGGGCCAUGUGCGCUCAGGAGGUGUCUGCCUUUGAUGAUGUGCCACGUCGGCUUGGCAGUUCGGCCUCCUCUGCCCCAUCAAUAGGUAAAGGCAAAGGUACCUUGCCAACAAAGGUCCGUAUAGUAAAAGCUAUGGUUUUCCCAGUGGUGAUGUAUGGAAGUGAGAGCUGGACCAUAAAGAAGGCUGAUCGCCGAAGAAUUGAUGCUUUUGAAUUAUGGUGCUGGAGGAGACUCUUGAGAGUCCCAUGGACUGCAAGAAGAACAAACCUAUCCAUUCUUAAGGAAAUCAGCCCUGAGUGCUCACUGGAAGGACAGAUCCUGAAGCUGAGGCUCUAAUACUUUGGCCACCUCAUGAGAAGAGAAGACUCCCUGGAAAAGACCCUGAUGUUGGGAAAGAUUGAGGGCACAAGGAGAAGGGGACGACAGAGGACGAGAUGGUUGGACAGUGUUCUCGAAGCUACCAGCAUGAAUUUGACCAAACUGAGGGAGGCAGUGGAAGACAGAAGUGCCUGGCGUGCUCUGGUUCAUGGGGUCAUGAAGAGUCGGACACAACUAAAUGACUAAACAACAACAACAAAGGUAAAUGACACCUGGAUGGUUAAGUCCAGUCAAAGGUGACUAUGGGAUGCGGCUCUCAUCUCGCUUUUAGGCCAAGGGAGCUGGCGUUUGUCCACAGACAGCUUUCCGGGUCAUGUGGCCAGCAUGACUAAACUGCUUCUGGUGCAACGGGACAGAAGCGGUACCUAUUUAUCUACUCACACUCAAUAUUGGGGCUAUAGUGAGGGGAAUGACGACACCUCCGCCCCCUAGAGUUGGCGUGCCUGCUCUGAGGUCCAAAGAUAUCUGGUUGCCAUAAAUUUGCCCCGAAGGGAAUGCAGCCUUCAGGAUGAAAAAGCUUCCACACUUCUGCUAUACAAAGAGUUACCUGAGAGUACUUCUUAAUAGACAUGCAUGGGAUUCCUUUGUCAGUUUCUUGCAUAUAGGUCAAUCAACACAGUUUUACUUAGAAGUUUUACAUGUUUACAGUUUUACAUUUUACUUAGAACUCCCACAAACUGACUCCUGGCACUUCCUGCAUAAAGGAAUGCAUGCUACAACAGAAAAUGUUAAAUGAAAGAUUUCUUUUCUGCCGAGUCAUAGGAUCAAAACUUUAAAAUCCACCGAAACAGCUUUAGCGGGAACAGAUAGUGAUGGUUUGAAAUUACAGAAGGAACACAUUUCAGGAUAGUUCUGCAUCAGGGAUUUUGUACAGACUUUUACUCAGUAUUUGUUUGUUUGUUUCCAGACAGGUCAAGUAGAGCAAUUAAAUAAGCUAUAUUCAGAUGCUGCACCAGACACUUGACACAAAUGCACACACCCCAUAAAUCAAGGAAGUCAGCUGUAUUGAUUUCUAGCACCGCUGGCAUUUCCCAACCAGCUUUAGCUGGCCUUUCCUCUGCCAACAAAUUGCGCAUUUAAACCUUCUGUGUGGGUAGACUCAAUAAUGGUUUCUUUCAAGUAAUUCUUGUUGUUACAGACAUAAGAUCUGGCCCUGCCAAGUCAAGGUUAUUUUUUCAUGGAAUAUGUCAUAUGAGCCACCAUGAAGACUGAAGCCCUUUAUCUAUCUUCUACACCCCAGCUAAUUUGCUUUGCAAAUGACCCGGGAAGAUUGCCUCCAUGCAUUCGGGUCUUUCGAUUAUUCACAGGAACCGCAAAGUUAUUUGUUUAUUUGAUUACAGAAAAGAAUGGAGAGUGGAAAUCCCACAAUAACUGUGCUGCCAAGGGAAAAUCUUUAGCAGAGAGGUUAAGCAAACUGUAGGCACAGGGGGAAAUGGUGGACUCACCUGUGGGUCCCACUUUCUGUUGCCAGUCCGCCAUUUUGUCUUCUUUCUUGAGCAUGAGCAGAAGGUGCAUUGGCUUCCCUCUUAACUAAGACUAUGAUGAGUGGAAUGCUGGCUGAAGUGGUUACUGGGAAAAGGGACUCUAGCAUACCCUCCAAGUGUCCCAAUUUUGCCAGAAGAGUCCCGGAAUUACUAAUGCCAUCCCAGCUUCUGGUUGGAUCCUGGAAUGUCUCAAUUCCCCACCAGCACUGCCACUGCCAAGCUCGGGGGACGAGGAUGAGACAGCGCUUGUCCCGAGUGACAAUGACAGCCAUGAUGUCUGUGAGGGAGCAUCCCAUCGCUGCUCCAUGGCCGCAGCCACUGGUCUCCUCCCUUGGGCAGCUUGUCUGGAGAGUGGAUGAAGAGAAUCCUGUGUUUUUCUACUGUGUAUGAUAUGCCAGAAGCCGUUAGCCUGUGCAUAAGACUGGGUAGUCCUACAUGUGUCCCUUUCUUGCCUCAGUGAGCAAGCGGAACAUGGGAUGGGCAGCAAAUCGCCUCCACAAGCUUUUGCAGAGGGGGCUCAGCGAAAUCGAGGGCAGUGGUGGUGUUAAAGCUGCUGUAUGGGGAAGCCCUGAUUCAGAUCCUGCCUGCCUGCCAAGCUAUCCAUGUGGCCAUUCAUCAUUCUACAGUGCUACUCUGCAGGGUUGUUGUGAAGGAGGAGAACAGAGGACCAAUUGCGCCUCACUAAACAUGAUGAAUUAUUAUUAUUAUUCCAGCAAUAGUUAAGUUUAAGAAGGGAGAGUGAGUGAUCUGGGCUGUAUGGAAACAAGCUACUUCUCCCUACCUUGCUUUCAUUCACUGUGAUUCCUACGUUGAAGGGGGUUGGGUCCCUUUCAACUCUACAAUUAUAGGUAGGUAGGUAGGUAGGUGGGUGGGUAUAUGCCUCAUUUGGUUUAAUGGUUUCUUUAAGUAAUCUGGUGAACCGGGUUCGCGUCUCUGCUCCUCCACAUGCAGCUGCUGGGUGACCUUGGGCUAGUCACACUUCUUUGAAGUCUCUCAGCCUCACUCACCUCACAGGGUGUUUUGUUGUGGGGGAGAAAGGGAAAGGAGAAUGUUAGCCGCUUUGAGACUCCUUCGGAUAGUGAUAAAGUGGGAUAUCAAAUCCAAACUCUUCUUCCUCUUCUUCUUUUUCUUCUUCUUUGGGAGGCUGUGUGCAUGUCUUCUCAGAGGUAAGCCCUGCUGAGCCCACUGGAACCUCUUCCUUGAUAAGUAAGUGUAGGAUUGCAACCUGUGAGCAAUCCCCAUUGAACUCAGUCCCCACUGCAUUGCUGGGGUUUGGACUGGAUGGUCUUUAGAGAUCCCUUCCAAUUCUACAAUUCAAUGGUGAACUCAACAAGUCCUGCGGUUUAUUUCAUUUCAUUUUUCUGCUGCAGCUUGCUUUUGCAUGCAUUGCUUUAGAUCAUUUUAAUCAUACCUUUGGGACAGGUUACAGUUUGAUCAUGCCUGAACUUCCCUAGAGGUCCAGUGGGUGGGAGAGGAAAUGGGAGUAGGAAGAGAACGUGCUGUGCUAGACCUUAGAUGGGUAUAAAUGGCUCAUCUGUACCACAGAUGAAUUAUGAGCUUUUGCCCCUCCCCCUGGUAACUUCUCCAUCUCCAGUGGUGCAAUUUGAGUUUGCUUUUGUGACCUAUUUCCCCAAGUCCUGUGGGAGAAGAUGGGUUCUCUUUUGGAAUUAAAGGAGUUUUUUGGUGAGCCUGUUGCUGAAAGUUGAUUUGGAGGCUGGCCAGUUUUUCUUCUUCUCACUUUCUCCAGGGAGGGUGUUAGAUUUAGGACUAGCGUGCAUGGAUAGACUGCAGGGGGAAAAAGAAGUACCGGUACUAUAAUUAUAUUUUUAACAAAGUAAUAACAUAAAAGAGGUAGGGAGAGAUAAUGCCCACCUUGUUAGAGUUCAGAGGUUGACCGUAUCAUGAAAAACUUUAAUAAAAAACUUAACACGCAAAGAGAGAGAGAGAGAGAACCCCCCCCCAGCAGUAACACUGAUGUAGAAUAGAAUGUCCCUAUUUUCAUCUGAGGAAUGUUGGAGGGUAUUCUCUCAUCUCAACCUAGGAAUAUGAGUUCCUCCUAUAUUAUGUUUUUAUAUGUGUUGAAAGCCACACAUGUGUUGGAAGCUGGAUCUGGCCCCUGGGCCUUAGUUUGCCUAUCCAUGCUCUAGUUCAUCAUCCUCAUUUCAAAAGCGUCCAAUCAGAUGCCUCCAGGAAGUCACAUGGGCACAAAAGCAAUAACUCCUGCUGAACAUGGCGGUACUAUACAGCCAUCAUGAUUAAGAGUCACUGAUAGGUCUAUCCACAUUAAUUUGCCCAAUCCAUCUAAGCACAUUCAACAUCAUCAUCACAGCUUGUACCUGUUAAUUAUAUACAUUAAUCAUGCAGUGAAGAAAUGCUUGCCUAGUUACAAUUAUUUAUUUCUCUCUUCGUUGGUGCACGUGCAUUUAUUUGCCUUCUUUUUUUAGAAGCUGUAAUCUUCAGGAAGACAGUGAUUCAGCUUCUUUAACUGAGGUCAACCUAGUCAACUGAAUUUGUGUUUUAUUGUCUUUUAUGUUGUAUCUGUUUUUAUGAUACUGCUGUUUUCAUGUUGUAUUUCUUGCAUACUGCUUAGAGCAGCCUUUCUCAACCUGUGGGUCCCCAGAUGUUGUUGAACUACUACUCCCACCACCCCUAGCUAGCAAGGCCAGAGCUCAGGGAUGAUGGGAGUUGUAGUCCAACAACAUCUGGGGACCCACAGGUUGAGAACCACUGGCUUAGAGGUUAUUACAAAUUAAGUGGUAUAGAAAUGCUUUUAAAUAAAUAAAUGCCUACCGACUAACCUACACACAAGAGCUUUAUCGAAAAGAGGUAAUACCAUAUAUUUUUGCUGGACCAGCUUUGUAGCUGUAGUUAUAUGGAAGCAUCCAAAAUGAAUUUAAUUCUUUGUUGGGUAGAAAAAAUUAGCUAAUAAUAGGUAUAUAGAGAAAUGAAAACUGAUCUCUUAUGCAAUGGUUUCCAUUUCUUACUCACUCUGACCUGUUUUUUUCCUUUCUGGGAUAUAAUAGUAUAUGUGAAAUCACAGCCUCUGUGUUUUGGUUCCUGAAAUGGUCAACUUGACCUACAGACCUAUGAACAUGUGGAGGGAUCUUUUGCAGGUUGUCUCUAGGGGAACCACAAGGUUCUGAGAGAUCUCUUUGCCCAAACCUGAUGGAAUUGCUUUUAACGAAAAGCAAGCUUGUUUUCUCCUGCUCUGGACAGUAGGACUCGAACCAAUGACUUCAAGCUACAAGAAAGGAGAUUCCGAAUAAACAUCUGCAAGAACUUUGACGGUAAGAGCUUGUUCAACAGUGGAAUGGUUGUCAGCAUCCUUGGGUCGAAAGGCCAGCUGGCUAGCCCCCAGCUGGAUUGUCUCCUUCCAGCUGUGCCACUGCGAAGGUCCAUCAACCUCUGGCUCCGACAUAAAUCAGUGACUCAAGCCUCUCAGACUUGAGCACACUAUAUUCAGCAGUAUAAACCACACAAACAGAAGAGGCUGAGGCUGUGGACACAUACUAUGAACUACAGAUUUAUUAAUCAUAAAUCAAGACAAAGAAACACGUCAUCUCUCCUUGCCGACUUCUCAGAGAGAGAAUCCAAACAAAAGCCAUACAGCGGAAGUUCUGCUUACGCCAGCAAACUGUGCAGGAAUGUGAACAGACAUGUGACACGUAACAAUCCCAUGUCUGCAACUAAAGGUGGAAUGGAAAAUCCCAACAAUGGUCUCCCUCAGGAGGUUGUGGAUUCUCCUUCCUUGGAGGUUUUUAAGCAGAGGUUGGAUGGCCAUCUGUCAUGGAUGCUUUAGCUGAGAUUCCUGCAUUGCAGGGGGUUGGACAAGAUGACCCUUGGGGUCCCUUCCAAUUCUACAAUUCUAUGCAAUUCCCUUUCAGUCAAUAAGCUUGCUGGAGACACAGUUUGGCCUUCCUGAUUUUUUCCAAGCGUUCAUAAUCAGCCCCGAGACACCCUUUUGAGACACGCAUUAUUGAUCACAACAUGAGUAUUAUCAGUUUCUUCAGACUUCACUUAUAUCCUCCCGGCAAACCAGACAAUUCAAUUAGAUGAUGUAGAUGAAUGAUCUGUUUUGUAACCAUGACUUAAUGAAAUGCUCUGUCUGCAAGGACAAAGUGUGAAACUUGCUACGUACAAAGUGAUAACAACCUGAAUACCUCUGUUCCCUUGCAUCAUAAAUAAAGGCAGCCACAUUUCUUCAUUAUGUGUAACUUGUUUAUAGCUUUUAAUACUGUAUCCUGAGCUAGGGGCCCAUUGAUCACUAGAUUUCAUAUGCUACCUCACGUGCUGACCAUUGUGCAUGUAAACUCUUUGGGAAAAAACCAGAAGGGAUUUUGAAGUGAUGAUGACAUGAGCAGAGUCCUGUCUCACCCUCUCAUCCUCACAACAAGGAAUACAUUGUAUUGUCUGUUUGGUACUUGCCAUUUAUUCAGAAUAUACCAUCUAUUCUGAGGGGUGCCCACAUUUAAAUUACAGCUUUUCCCUUCUGACUGUACCUGAGUAAGGGCUAGGAAAGUUUUGGGCUACCACUUGUGCAUUCUGAAGGUGGAAGGGUGGUGGUGUGGGAUCUGUGAAUUCUGUAGUUGGUGUUGUAGUUGUUUAUUUUGGGGGGGCGGGACUCCCUAAACCCUAGAAAUUAAUAAAUGGUAGGAUUUUGAUUGUUUGGGAUAUGAAGGGAGAAUACAAGUCGCAGAGGAAUUCCAGGGCUAGCCUAUGCAAAAACGACCUGACCAAGUGAGGGCCAUUAAGAAACAAUACAAGGCCAUUGAGGGCCAUUGGCAAUGCAAGAGAAUUGCCUUCCCCCUUGCCCUGAGGUGUGAACAGAGACAGGUUUGGAAGGUUGCCAGGGUAGCUGUGUGUAUGACGUGGCAGGAAAAGGGGGUCUCGUAGCAAGGGGCUUUGGGAAGAAGAAGCAGGAAGAAGGCUGGAAUCCAUCUUGGGCAGGCUGGCUGAAGGCUGGCUGCACUGUUGUGGGGUACAAUCCCCUCUUUAAAUUACCAAGCUGUAAGACCUGGACUCCCUUCAUGCAGACUGAAAGUGUAAAUAGGUGAAUAAACCAUACAAAUUCUGUACCAACACUGGAGGAACACUCAUGUCUUGUCCAUGACUCCAACACAUUUUAGAUGUUUGCCAGCAUGCUUUUUAUACCUCGCAUUCCACAAGUUUAGUGGGACCACCAGCUGGUGUAUUUUCAGUAUGGGAUUGCACCAUUAAGUGCACAAUUUUAUUCUGGUAAUCCUCUAUUUGGAUGUAUUGGAAUCAGUCUCUAAAUUCAGCAGUCCCAAGAGCUUGUGCCUAUCUUUCCUUCCCUCCUUUAACUCCAGCUUCCUCUUCUGUCUGUUUAGAUCAGCUUUCCGCAACCUGGUGUCCUCUAGAUAUUUUGGACUACAACACCCAUCAGCACCUGCCAGGAUGGAUCAAGUUGGCUGUGGCUAAUGGGAGUUAAUAAUCCAAAACAUGUUAAGGGCACCAGGUUGGUGGAAAUUGAUUUACAUAAUAAGUUGUUACUACCAAUCUUAUGUUGCAUAUUGUACAGCACCUCGUGAAAUUAAAGUUUUGGUUCCAAUGGAAUACCAUGAACAACAAUGGAAAGUAUCAAUUCCCCAUCCCAUCCCAUGGGAUGCCACAGGGGAGUCUUUCUGUAGGAAAGAGAAAUACUAAAGGGUUGGUGCGUCGAUUUUGGUCCUCCUUAGAUUUGCUCCUCCUGCCAGAAGUUCAAUCCCCACCCCCAGAAGUCUGCUUAGGACUGACAGUCCAUUAAUCAGCACCCAGCCCUGAAUACAAAUAUAUAUGGAAGAGGCAACCCCUCAUUCCUGUUCUCUACUUGGUACUGGGGCAAUUCCCAUGGCCAGCUACAGUUGCAGAAACAGCUGCAUAAUGAACAACCAUAAAUUAACUACAGAUCUUUCUUUGCUGCCUUCAAAAUAUGGGAGGAGCAGGCAUGGAAUGGAAUGAGAUGUUUGGAAUGAUGUGUAAAUUUGACAGGCUGAUUCCCCCCCCCAUUACAUUUGCAUAAUUAGUAUGUCAUACUUGCAUGUUAUGCUAAUAGCAGUUGCCUGGAUUGGAGUCUUGUGUAGACGAACUCUAAAGGUGGUCCUGUUAUACUUGCCAAAUGUCCAAUGAGUAGGACAACCAGCAGCAUCCCUCUUGUGUAGAGUCUCUGCAUAGAAUGUCUCCAAUGGCAUUACUUGUUUGUUUUUAAGCAGGCAUUGUGAUUCUCUGCAGCGAUUGCCAGAUUUGGCCAACUCUCUCACAGACGCAGUGGUGCAGCCACUCCUGUAUGGUCGUUCGGCUUCUGCAGUUUCUACAGCCCCCAAUUUCUUGACUGGUUGAUCCUCGCAGAAGUACCUGCCAAGACUGCAGAAUGGCAGUCUGGCUUCGGAGAGGGUUGGACCUGGUUACUAAGUAGGCACUCUCAGAUUCUGACGGCUGUGAUGAUCGCUAUAUACACUUCUCCAGCAGGAAAGGUCAGCUCAGUCCAAAGAAGGUUGGCUAAUUUCCAUGCAAAAGACAAAGAGGCUGCGGAAAAUGUUGUCCUCCAGACACGAGAUAGAAUACGAGUCAGGGAAUGUAGAGAUUUUAACCGUUUGGACAGAUGUCUGAUCUGUACAGUCUAACCGGAAUGGGAGUAGUUGCCAUGGGAUCUUAACAUGUAUAUUUCGAGUUGGCAGUUUAACACCUUCAUUAUUAACUGAAACCAAGUGGAAUUCUGAUGAGAAGGCAGAUGUUACUUACAGUUCAAUCACCUUGAUUGUGUUAAAUAUUUAUUUUCCAGUCCUGCCUAUAGGCAGUCAGACAUUACUUAGCUGCCACUCAAUUUUUAAAUUUUUUUUGAAAAGGACCACUCAGUUAAUAUUUGAGUUUAAUUAAUUUCAUUCUUACUUGUUCAGCAACAGCCAUGGUUCUCCCAACCUCUGCACAGCUUUCUAUACUUUCUGAAAACAAAGAGAUGGGAGAAAUGGGGAAAUCAAUGGGAAUCAAUAGUAUGAGACAAUCCUGCAGCAACUGAAAGCUGUUACCACAUCGACACAGGUUGCACUCAACACACGUGCAAACGUGUUACCCCAGAGAUGUGGUAUUUCAAGCUCUCGGGUGCAGAGUCAGGCCAUGCCUUAUGAAAGUUGAACCAUGUUUUUAUUACUUGGAUGGAGGCAUGUGGAUUAGCAAGAACCAUUAAGUCCCAGUUAGGGUUCAAAAGGGACGCGGGUGACGCUGUGGGUUAAACCACAGAGCCUAGGACUUGCCGAUCAGAAGGUCGGUGGUUCAAAUCCCCGCGAUGGAGUGAGCUCCCGUUGCUCGAUCCUGCUCCUGCCAACCUAGCAGUUCAAAAGCAAGUCAGUGCAAGUAGAUAAAUAGGUACCACUCCAGUGGGAAGGUAAACGGUGUUUCCAUGGGCUGCUCUUGUUUGCCAGAAGGGGCUUAGUCAUGCUGGCCACAUGACCCGGAAGCUGUACGCCGGCUCCCUCAGCCAAUAAAGCGAGAUGAGUGCCGCAACCCCAGAGUCGGUCACGACUGGACCUAAUGGUCAGGGGGCCCUUUACCUUUAGGGUUCAAAAUAAAUUUGUUAGGGAUUACAGACACUAAAAUGGCACAAGAGAGAACAAUGGUUGCACAGGUUGAAUCCCCAGAGUGGGAUAAUAACAGAAAGUGACUUGAUUAGUUUAAAUAAUACAUAGACUAUACAAAUUCGGCAUUGCCUGGACCAACAGCUUAUCCUGGACCUAUUUUUCUAUGACACAGAAAAAAGAUGGAGGAGCAGGGGAAUAUUACUGUUGCCGUAGAAGAGGUACGGGGAAACUUUGGGCAUCCAGAUGUUGUUGAGCAACAGUGCCCACUACCCCUGCUUUCUGGGGCUGAUAGUUGUAGUUCUGUAACAUCUGGAAGGCCACAAGUUCCCCAAUCCUGCCAUAUAAGGAGCAGUGAGUGAUGCAGAUCUGGUAGGUGGCGCUGGAGGCCUGCAGGUGCACCAGAGAAAGCACAAAUGGAAAUGAUGGGUUUGAGCCGCACAAGGACAGGAAACGCAGUGAACUCUGGGAAAUGGAGCAGAUAGAGAGAGAUCUGUUUUGGAGGAUCCCAUGGAUGUUCAGUGCACUUGUCUCCUAGUGAAACUUGGAAGGUGCAGGUCCCCAGUGGAUGCAGCAGGGAGGAAGGAAAUCCAGUUUGGUAUAGUGGUUAGGUAUUGCUAUAGGUUUAGCUAGACCAUAAAGAAGGCUGAUUGCCGAAGAAUUGAUGCUUUUGAAUUAUGGUGCUGGAGGAGACUCUUGAGAGUCCCAUGGACUGCAAGAAGAACAAACCUAUCCAUUCUGAAGGAAAUCAGCCCUGAGUGCUCACUGGAAGGACAGAUCCUGAAGCUGAGGCUCCAAUACUUGGGCCACUUCAUGAGAAGAGAAGACUCCCUGGAAAAGACCCUGAUGUUGGGAAAGAUGGAGGGCACAAGGAGAAGGGGACGACAGAGGACAAGAUGGUUGGAUAGUGUUCUCGAAGCUACCAGCAUGAGUUUGACCAAACUGAGGGAGGCAGUGGAAGACAGGAGUGCCUGGCGUGCCCUGGUCCAUGGGGUCACGAAGAGUCGGACACGACUAAACAACUAAACAACAACAACAAAUAGUGGUUAGGUGCCACACUAAGACCUGGGAGACCAAGGUUCAAAUUUCCACUCACCUAUGAAGCUCAUUUGUUCUUUAUUUAUUAUUUAAACUUGGCUACUGCUUUUUCUACAUAAGUAUGCCCCAACAAACGACAGAAUAGUAUAGAAAUGAAAUACUAAACAGGAAUACAUAUCAAAACAUUAGUAUGCUAAGCAGUCUAGUACCAGUUCAUUGCAAUUAUAAUGGCAUAACAUUGUGGAUAUGUGCAUGCAACACACGUUUUGUAAACACAUUACAAAAUAAUCAACAAUAUUUUAAUAUGCUCAGUAUCUUAACGCUCGGUUUGCAUAUUUGCUAACUUUUGUUUUGAUUUUAUAUCUUGAUAUAAAGAAUGACAACAUCCCUGCUCUCUCAGUAUUCAGGUUACCAUAAAGUUCUAUUGCAAUCCAUGAAGUCAAUGAUAAGUACGCAAAAGGAAGUCUUAUUUCACAUCCUGAAACACAAAACUGAAGAGAAUGUCUGAGGCAGAAAUUCAAAGUCAGUGUUUUACUUUUUACCUCAGGACUCUUCUCUUGUUUCGUUCAUCAGCAGCUCUAGACUGAGCCAAACUCAUGAAUAAACCCAUCUCAUUAUUCAAAUUGAUGACUACAUAUCAGGCGUCUCGGGCUGUUUCUGCUUUAAUAAAUGAAGGCAGGAGGUUUCAGAUAUGGCUUUGUGUUGUGGUAGAAUGGACGCAGCAGUACUUUUUCAGAUGUGCCCCAACACAGGAAAACAGGGAAUGAGAUACAAGUAGACUUUGCUGUAACUUGUAUGAGUGACUGAGCUCUUAGAAUUGAAUUCUAGUUAAGGGUCACUAACCAAACCAGUAUAAAUUAAUCCUGCUUGUUUAUUUGAAUUGUAAAGUCCAUGUGCAUAGUGAACUGCAAGGAUUGCGUGCAACCCUGUGCUUUUGGCCUAUAGGGUUAAAUCUGAGAGACCCACUUCAAGUCCCCAGUUGGCAAUGACAGUGGCAUGGGAAGCACAAAAUUGUUAGGGGGCACAAAAUUUCAACACCUGGUGCUGCCUCAAUACAGUUGUGCACUUCUGUUGCUGGGCUCCACUGAAAACGGCUUCUCCAUGAGAACCAGGGAGUGACCUCUCCAGAUAAGGGAACAACUCUUCUUAUCUUUGUGGCUGUGGUCUUCCAGGCGGAUGCCAUUAGGCAGUUGACUGCACAUGCGUACUCUGUCCGUUUCCCUCCCUCACACUCACCUCCUGCGUGGCCUCGGGAGCUGGCAACCCACAGUAUGCCACUGACC
Molecule: long non-coding RNA, 16741 nt
Filed under: Podarcis lilfordi (Lilford's wall lizard)
Lineage: Eukaryota; Metazoa; Chordata; Lepidosauria; Squamata; Lacertidae
Source: RNAcentral